RNAcentral lists this long non-coding RNA (1836 nucleotides) under Triticum aestivum (bread wheat). RNAcentral describes it as "long non-coding RNA (TAES_LNC022109)". The record is from RNAcentral. Lineage: Eukaryota; Viridiplantae; Streptophyta; Magnoliopsida; Poales; Poaceae.
GGGUCUCGGUGGUUCUUCAGGAGGCGCGUGCAAAGGGGAACACGCGUGCAAAGAGGGCAGCAGGGUGAGUGCUUGAUCAAUCGCCAUGUUCAGUACUGCACUUUUGCACACACGUAUCCGUUAGAUGUCAAGUAAAACUAUCUACGAGUCCAAUUACAUGCAAGUACUGACCAAAUCACCCAUGUAUGUCUCAAAUCUGAACCAUGGUCUCUACUGUAUUAUGUGAACAUGAACAUAUAAAAAACAUAAAAGAGGUAAACUUUGGUAAAAUACAAAUAGGCAUCACACAAUCUACUCAUCAUCACUUGAAUGCUCAUUCUCGCUCAAUGCACCAUCUUCCUGUCCAUCAUCGUCAGUACCACUAUCUUCAUCAUAAUUGUUGUCAUCUUUGAGAAGAUCGUGAACAAUACUAGCAUGAACAGGCGUGCCUUCUUCAUCAUCACGGCUAUAAGUGUCGAACAAUUGAUCAAUAUCCUUCACAGUGGAAGUUGUCGAGGGCAUUUCUUCCUGGUAUGCAUCUGUAGCAUUGAGCUCGCCUGUCUCUAGUUCAGGAACAUCGUACAAACGUCUAUGACUGAAAGUCUGCACCACAUUCCAGUCAUUUCCAUAUUUUGUGUCCUCCAUGUAAAACACUUGCUCUGCUUGAGAAGCCAAGAUGAAAGUAUCCUUCUUGUAUUAAAGCACGUUAACAUUAAGACUUUUGAAGUAACCAUCAUCUUUCAUGCCGGUCGCCUUGCCAUGGAGAUCAAACCAAUCACCACGAAACAAAAAGGCCGACCUUUCUCCACGCUUGGUAGGCAGAAAUCUUCGGUGCCAACAAACCAAAUUUUAUUUUUCAAUGGCUCAGAGCAAGGGUCCACAUCACAGUGCACUACAACAAAAUAGUUUACCUUAGCAAAAUUAUGCUUACACCGCAUUGAAGCAAAAUCUACUACUAACACAACUAGUGAACCCACUACUAAACUGAAAUAACAAAACGGGCACAAAUUUAACCCCUUCAAGAUUGAUGAGAACAUAUACUAAGGCAACCUCCUAAACAUUGUCUUUCCUAAGUACAGCAUAUAUGCUUGGUUUCCAAAGGCCACUGACUUGUGGAUGUCUUAUACAAAAACAUAUAUAUUCUCACUGUCAUUGCAAAACCAUGCAUAUAUCUAUGCUACAUCAUAGUAACAUUCGUACACACAAUACAACAGUAGAAGUAAUAGUUCGGUUGUUCACACAAUUUACCUUGCAGGGGUCGGCUCGAUCGAUGCUUUGGGAGUUGGGGCCAAGCCGGGAGCACUGGCAAGUCUAAACUCCGCGCCUUUGUCAGGUGAUGGAUAGAUACUGCAAAUUCUAAGCACAGUUGGUGACGGGACGGUGGCCAGUUGGGGACAGGUUGAGGACGAGCGAUGUUGUCCCUGUCGGCGACGAGCAAAUGCGAUGCCUGUGGUGGAAGAAUGGAGGUAAGAGGGAGAGGCGGAGGAGCGGUGUGGUAGCCGGUGCGAUGCGGCGGCGCUGUAACGCCUUGUACGAUAUGUCGAUAUGGUGGCCGGAUGGAUCCGUGUGAGGUGGUACAGGGGAGUGGAUGCACUUACUUCAAUUGGCAACAGCCGGAAGCCAUCUGUGCCGUGCUUCGGCUAUCGCCGUCCUGCUUCUCCCCGUCGUGAAACGCCGCCAGCUAGAACCGAGAAGACGAUCAGAUCGAGUCACAUAUGCCCCGGGAAGAAAUAACUAACCUGCAAAUAUAGUCUCCCUCAAAAAAAAACCCGGAAAUGUUAACGCCCACACGUGUGGGCGUUUGCACAUCGCCCACACGCCUCCAGCACCACUCAUUUUGCCACAUAUGAAUAGAUG